This 465-nucleotide ribosomal RNA is filed under the name uncultured bacterium. RNAcentral's name for it is "partial 16S ribosomal RNA". It matches the Rfam family "Bacterial small subunit ribosomal RNA", at positions 338 to 795 of the family's 1533-position model. The record is from RNAcentral.
CCUACGGGAGGCAGCAGUAGGGAAUCUUCCACAAUGGGCGAAAGCCUGAUGGCGCAACGCCGCGUGGGUGAAGAAGGUCUUCGGAUCGUAAAACCCUGUUGUUAGAGAAGAAAGUGUGUGAGAGUAACUGUUCACGUUUCGACGGUAUCUAACCAGAAAGCCACGGCUAACUACGUGCCAGCAGCCGCGGUAAUGCGUAGGUGGCAAGCGUUAUCCGGAUUUUUUGGGCGUAAAGGGAACGCAGGCGGUCUUUUAAGUCUGAUGUGAAAGCCUUCGGCUUAACCGGAGUAGUGCAUUGGAAACUGGGAGACUUGAGUGCAGAAGAGGAGAGUGGAACUCCAUGUGUAGCGGUGAAAUGCGUAGAUAUAUGGAAGAACACCAGUGGCGAAAGCGGCUCUCUGGUCUGUAACUGACGCUGAGGUUCGAAAGCGUGGGUAGCAAACAGGAUUAGAUACCCCAGUAGUC